UGCAGAUGAUAUGAUAGUAUAU
RNAcentral lists this non-coding RNA (22 nucleotides) under Mus musculus (house mouse). Lineage: Eukaryota; Metazoa; Chordata; Mammalia; Rodentia; Muridae. The record is from RNAcentral.